CAGGCCUAACACAUGCAAGUCGAGCGCACCUUCGGGUGAGCGGCGGACGGGUUAGUAACGCGUGGGAACGUACCCUUUUCUACGGAAUAGCCUUUGGAAACGAAGAGUAAUACCGUAUACGCCCUUUGGGGGAAAGAUUUAUCGGAGAAGGAUCGGCCCGCGUUAGAUUAGAUAGUUGGUGGGGUAACGGCCUACCAAGUCUACGAUCUAUAGCUGGUUUUAGAGGAUGAUCAGCAACACUGGGACUGAGACACGGCCCAGACUCCUACGGGAGGCAGCAGUGGGGAAUCUUAGACAAUGGGCGCAAGCCUGAUCUAGCCAUGCCGCGUGAGUGAUGAAGGCCUUAGGGUCGUAAAGCUCUUUCGCCUGUGAUGAUAAUGACAGUAGCAGGUAAAGAAACCCCGGCUAACUCCGUGCCAGCAGCCGCGGUAAUACGGAGGGGGUUAGCGUUGUUCGGAAUUACUGGGCGUAAAGCGCACGUAGGCGGAUUGGAAAGUUGGGGGUGAAAUCCCGGGGCUCAACCCCGGAACUGCCUCCAAAACUAUCAGUCUAGGGUUCGAGAGAGGUGAGUGGAAUUCCAAGUGUAGAGGUGAAAUUCGUAGAUAUUUGGAGGAACACCAGUGGCGAAGGCGGCUCACUGGCUCGAUACUGACGCUGAGGUGCGAAAGUGUGGGGAGCAAACAGGAUUAGAUACCCUGGUAGUCCACACCGUAAACGAUGAAUGCCAGUCGUCGGGCAGUAUACUGUUCG
RNAcentral lists this ribosomal RNA (750 nucleotides) under uncultured bacterium. Its description in RNAcentral is "bacterial SSU rRNA". It matches the Rfam family "Bacterial small subunit ribosomal RNA", at positions 43 to 842 of the family's 1533-position model. The record is from RNAcentral.